CUUGCGACAGAGUGCCCGCCAUCAUGUUUUGUGGCCCCAGUGUUUUAAAGGGAUCCGUCGGGUGGCCCAUGCUGUUAGGGCCACCCGAUGGGUAUGGAUUUUCAGGGGGCCCGGUUAGCACUGGGUGCUUUAACAGCGUGACCGAGUCCCCUGUGAUGACAUCACAUGCUGGGAGGAAGUUACUGCCCCGGUCACUCCUCCCAGCUAUCAGAGAGCCGCGCGGAAGAAAGGAGAAGAGGGAGUCAAAGUAGGAACUCUGACUCCCAUCAAACUGAGCCACUACUGGACUCCAGGGAAAGUCACCCUCCUGCUCUUAAAAGGUAGGAAACAGGAGGGUGACUUAAAUAUUUUGUAUAUUUGUGUGUGUGUCUGUCUAUUUGUAUGUGUGUAUGUGUCUGUUUGUAUGUAUAUGUGUCUUGUGUGUGUGUGUGUAUGUAUGUGUGUCUGUAUGUAUGUGUGUGUCUGUUGGAAGGGGGGGGGCCCAUGGUUCAGUUUGGCACCGGGUCCCCGUGGAUUGUGUGUAUGCCACUGACUGGGACCGUAUCACCUGAAUACUGCUUAUAUUGUGACUGUAUCACCUAAACACUGCUUAUACUUAUCAGGAUCCAUAUGUCACUUUAAUCGGGGGGUGGGGGGAUAAAGUGUUGUAGAUAUAGUUCCCCAGUUUGAUCACGUCUAAAUUAUUAUACGUUAGACCAGGGGUGUCCAAACUUUUUUCAAAGAGGGCCAAAUUUGAUUAAGUGAACAUGCGUGAGGGCCAACCAUUUUGCCUGACAUUCUUUGAACCAUAAAAAAUGUAAGGCAAAUGAACAAUUUUUUGCAAAGUUUAUUGCAAACGGCAUACUUUUCAUUUCAUCUCUUCUGUCUGAGAUCUCUUUAUUUUGUCUCUUUACUCUGUCCCUUCUCUCUUUACUCUGUCCCUUCUCUCUUUACUCUGUCCCUUCUCUCUUUAGUCUGUCCCUUCUCUCUUUAGUCUGUCCCUUCUCUCUUUACUCUGUCCCUUCUUUCUUUAGUCUGCCAAUCUUUAUUCUGCCCCUCUGUAUCCUGCCAGUCUGCACCUCUGUACGCAGUCUGUAUUCUGCCUUUCUUUAGUCUUCCCCUCUGUAUUCUGCCCCAUUUUAUUCUGUCGAUUCUCUGCAGGGAGAAGGAACCAAAUCCCGCGAAUCCCAUGACGUCCAAGAGAUUGUGAGAAUGCAGACUGAGGUCACUGCACUCCCAUCUGCGUUUUUUGUGAUAUCUUGGCCCCCCACUGAAUCCCGGCGCGGGGGUUCACUGGGGGCCACAACAGGUAGAUUAGCCAAACUACCUGUGGGGCCGUAUUGAACCGGAAACGCUGGCCGCAAAUGGCCCGCGGGCUGGACUUUGGACAUG
Pelobates cultripes (western spadefoot toad) is the source of this 1371-nucleotide non-coding RNA. The record is from the annotation of a GenBank genome assembly. NCBI's taxonomy places the organism in Eukaryota, Metazoa, Chordata, Amphibia, Anura, Pelobatidae.